RNAcentral lists this small RNA (67 nucleotides) under Halobacillus alkaliphilus. Its description in RNAcentral is "Bacillaceae-1 RNA". It matches the Rfam family "Bacillaceae-1 RNA". Lineage: Bacteria; Bacillati; Bacillota; Bacilli; Caryophanales; Bacillaceae. The record is from RNAcentral.
CCCAAGGGAUGUUCGCCUAAGGCCGCCACGUCCUGUGGCAACGUCAAACACCCCUGCGUCAUAAAGG